Long non-coding RNA from Trichomycterus rosablanca, 299 nucleotides. RefSeq lists it as uncharacterized. The transcript is spliced from 3 exons. The record is from RefSeq and is a predicted model, not a curated record. NCBI's taxonomy places the organism in Eukaryota, Metazoa, Chordata, Actinopteri, Siluriformes, Trichomycteridae.
UGAAAACACAUCACAAACACAAUAUCAUUACAUGAAUGGCUGAGGGGAAACUUGGCACUAGCUGAAACCCGACACACGGAAGUGAGAGAGAAUUCCUCCCGCAGAUGCAAAUCCACCUUCUGCAUGUUUUGUGCUGUGGGGAAAACCCAAGUACUCAGAAGACACUCAUGUCUAUCUUAGGACACACCAAACUUGCAGAAUGGCUCUUUUCCUUAAGGCACUCCGCGCAGGGUUGCCAGAUGCUUAGUUUCAUUUAAAAGUGCUGUUGCUUGAUGUUUCAGUAAACCCUACUGAAAUAA